This 21-nucleotide non-coding RNA is filed under the name Arabidopsis thaliana (thale cress). The record is from RNAcentral. Lineage: Eukaryota; Viridiplantae; Streptophyta; Magnoliopsida; Brassicales; Brassicaceae.
UUGAAUUGGUCAACAUGUAUG